This 1460-nucleotide ribosomal RNA is filed under the name Tosana niwae. RNAcentral describes it as "partial 16S ribosomal RNA". It matches the Rfam family "Bacterial large subunit ribosomal RNA", at positions 193 to 2586 of the family's 2925-position model. Lineage: Eukaryota; Metazoa; Chordata; Actinopteri; Perciformes; Anthiadidae. The record is from RNAcentral.
CUUAACACUUACAUUUUUUAGAUAAACAAAUCAUUUUUCCCCUCUAGUAUGGGCGACAGAAAAAGGCCUAUGGCGCUAUAGAAAAAGUACCGUAAGGGAACGCUGAAAGAGAAAUGAAAUAACCCAGUAAAGUCUCAAAUAGCAGAGCUUAAACCUCGUACCUUUUGCAUCAUGAUUUAGCCAGUGUAAACCAAGCAAAACGCACUUUAGUUUGACUACCCGAAACUAUGUGAGCUACUCCAAGACAGCCUAAAUUAUAGGGCGAACCCGUCUCUGUGGCAAAAGAGUGGGAAGAUCUUCGAGUAGGGGUGACAGACCUACCGAACUUAGUUAUAGCUGGUUGCUUAGGAAUCGAAUAGGAGUUCGGCCUCCUGGCUUCUCUAUUCUCCCAGUAACUUAACUGUUAGGAUGACAAGAAUACCAGGAGAGUUAGUCAAAAAAGGUACAGCUUUUUUGACAUAAGACACAACUUUUGCAGGAGGGUAAAGAUCAUAAUUUUACUAAGGCACUAAAUCCCUGUGGGCUUAAAAGCAGCCAUCUGAACGAAAAGCGUUAAAGCUUAGACCAGCCUCCAACCCUUGAAUUAUGAUCAGCCAAUCUUAACCCCCUAAUUCUACUAAGCUGCUCCAUGCAGACAUGGAAGAAACUAUGCUAAUAUGAGUAAUAAGAGAGCUUAUACCUCUCUCCCUGCACACGUGUAAAUCAGAACGGAUAAUCCACUGAAUAUUAACGGCCUCAAUCAAAGAGAGUACUAAGCGAUAAAAUAAACGACUAGAAAACCACUUAAAUGAAACCGUUGACCCCACACAGGAGUGCUCCCAGGGAAAGACUAAUGGAAAAAGAAGGAACUCGGCAAACACAUUAAGCCUCGCCUGUUUACCAAAAACAUCGCCUCUUGUAAACUAAAGAUAAGAGGUCCCGCCUGCCCUGUGACGCUAAGUUUAACGGCCGCGGUAUUUUGACCGUGCGAAGGUAGCGCAAUCACUUGUCUCUUAAAUGGAGACCUGUAUGAAUGGCAUGACGAGGGCUUUACUGUCUCCUUUUUCAGGUCAAUGAACUUGAUCUUCUCGUGCAGAAGCGGGAAUAGUAACAUAAGACGAGAAGACCCUAUGGAGCUUUAGACACAAGACAGACCACGUUAAGCCUCCUUGCACGGGAGAGAAACUAAAUGCAGCAUCUGUUGUAUGUCUUUGGUUGGGGCGACCGCGGAAAAAAAUUUAACCUCCGCGUGGUACGGGAGUGCGAUCCGAAUAGACUCCUAGAGCCAAGAGCUACAGCUCUAAGCAACAGAACUUUUGACCAGUAUAGAUCCGGCAAAGCCGAUCAACGGACCGAGUUACCCUAGGGAUAACAGCGCAAUCUUCUUUUAGAGUUCAUAUCGACAAGCAGGUUUACGACCUCGAUGUUGGAUCAGGACAUCCUGAUGGUGCAGCCGCUAUCAAGGGUUCGUUUGUUCAACG